GUCAGUGUGUCCGAGAGGUCUAAGGAGUUGGGUUUAUGUUCCAAUGGGUCUUACUGACCUUCGCGGGUUCGAAUCCUGCCGCUGACG
Molecule: non-coding RNA, 87 nt
Organism: Piptocephalis cylindrospora
Lineage: Eukaryota; Fungi; Zoopagomycota; Zoopagomycetes; Zoopagales; Piptocephalidaceae
Source: the annotation of a GenBank genome assembly